RNAcentral lists this ribosomal RNA (407 nucleotides) under uncultured bacterium. RNAcentral's name for it is "bacterial SSU rRNA". It matches the Rfam family "Bacterial small subunit ribosomal RNA", at positions 509 to 916 of the family's 1533-position model. The record is from RNAcentral.
CAGCAGCCGCGGUAAUACGAAGGGGGCUAGCGUUGCUCGGAAUUACUGGGCGUAAAGGGAGCGUAGGCGGACAUUUAAGUCAGAGGUGAAAUCCCGGGGCUCAACCUCGGAACUGCCUUUGAUACUGGAUGUCUUGAGUGUGAGAGAGGUAUGUGGAACUCCGAGUGUAGAGGUGAAAUUCGUAGAUAUUCGGAAGAACACCAGUGGCGAAGGCGACAUACUGGCUCAUUACUGACGCUGAGGCUCGAAAGCGUGGGGAGCAAACAGGAUUAGAUACCCUGGUAGUCCACGCCGUAAACGAUGAUUGCUAGUUGUCGGGAUGCAUGCAUUUCGGUGACGCAGCUAACGCAUUAAGCAAUCCGCCUGGGGAGUACGGUCGCAAGAUUAAAACUCAAAGGAAUUGACGG